AACGAACGCUGGCGGCAUGCCUAACACAUGCAAGUCGAACGAGACCUUCGGGUCUAGUGGCGCACGGGUGCGUAACGCGUGGGAACCUGCCCUUAGGUUCGGAAUAACUCCCCGAAAGGGGUGCUAAUACCGGAUAAUGUCUUCGGACCAAAGAUUUAUCGCCUUUGGAUGGGCCCGCGUUGGAUUAGCUAGUUGGUAGGGUAAAAGCCUACCAAGGCGACGAUCCAUAGCUGGUCUGAUAGGAUGAUCAGCCACACUGGGACUGAGACACGGCCCAGACUCCUACGGGAGGCAGCAGUGGGGAAUAUUGGACAAUGGGCGAAAGCCUGAUCCAGCAAUGCCGCGUGAGUGAUGAAGGCCUUAGGGUUGUAAAGCUCUUUUACCCGGGAUGAGAAUGACAGUACCGGGAGAAUAAGCUCCGGCUAACUCCGUG
This 433-nucleotide ribosomal RNA is filed under the name uncultured bacterium. RNAcentral describes it as "partial 16S ribosomal RNA". It matches the Rfam family "Bacterial small subunit ribosomal RNA", at positions 29 to 507 of the family's 1533-position model. The record is from RNAcentral.